UUUUUGAGGAUUUGAUCCUGGUCCAGGACGAACGCUAGCGGCGUGCUUUAAGCAUGCAAGUGGAACGGUCCGUCGCAAGACGGAAAGUCGCGAACGGCUGAGUAACACGUAGGAACCUACCCUUUGGUGUGGAAUACCUCCGAGAAAUCGGAGCUAAUACCGCAUGACCCACGUUCAGUUACAUGAACGUGGAAAAGGAUAUAACUAUUCACCGAAGGAGGGGCCUGCGGCCUAUCAGCUAGUUGGUGGGGUAACGGCCUACCAAGGCUACGACGGGUAGGGGACGUGAGAGCGUGAACCCCCAGAAUGGCACUGAGACACGGGCCAUACACCUACGGGUGGCAGCAACUGGGAAUCGUGCGCAAUGGACGAAAGUCUGACGCCGCGACGCCGCGUGAGGGAUGACAGCCUUCGGGUUGUAAACCUCUUUUAUUUAGUCCGAGAGGACUUUUUGAAUAAGCACCGGCUAACUCCGUGCCAGCAGCAGCGGUAAUACGGAGGGUGCAAGCGUUG
This 513-nucleotide ribosomal RNA is filed under the name Candidatus Woesebacteria bacterium RIFCSPLOWO2_01_FULL_39_14. RNAcentral describes it as "bacterial SSU rRNA". It matches the Rfam family "Bacterial small subunit ribosomal RNA", at positions 1 to 543 of the family's 1533-position model. Lineage: Bacteria; Candidatus Woeseibacteriota. The record is from RNAcentral.